UACAGAGGUCUCAAGCGUUGUUCGGAUUCAUUGGGCGUAAAGGGCGCGUAGGCGGCCACUGCAAGUCAGUUGUGAAAUCUCCGGGCUUAACUCGGAAAGGUCAACUGAUACUGCAGGGCUAGAGUGCAGAAGGGGCAACUGGAAUUCUCGGUGUAGCGGUGAAAUGCGUAGAUAUCGAGAGGAACACCUGCGGCGAAGGCGGGUUGCUGGGCUGACACUGACGCUGAAGCGCGAAAGCCAGGGGAGCGAACGGG
This 254-nucleotide ribosomal RNA is filed under the name uncultured bacterium. RNAcentral's name for it is "partial 16S ribosomal RNA". It matches the Rfam family "Bacterial small subunit ribosomal RNA", at positions 524 to 776 of the family's 1533-position model. The record is from RNAcentral.